RNAcentral lists this long non-coding RNA (390 nucleotides) under Androctonus crassicauda. The record is from RNAcentral. Lineage: Eukaryota; Metazoa; Arthropoda; Arachnida; Scorpiones; Buthidae.
UAGAGGCAUGUCUAGACUGACUGUACAUGUACCGUGUCUGGGUAUAAAACCUGCUUUGCAGCAACGAACCCAAGGAAUGAAGGUUUUUCUGUCCGAGGGUCGACGACCUAGACAAGAUAUUAGUCUAGACGUCUGGAAACCGGGUGUUUCUUUUAGACGGUCUAUAGCAUUAACAUUACCAAAUUUGGUGUUGUUAUCUCCAACGGUUCCAGAGAUAUGCCAAUUCUUAAAUUUAUUCAUGAGCUAUGCAGGCGAGCUACAGGGGCUAAUCUACGGACGAAUGUUUUAGUCCCAAGACCAAAGUGGGUUGAACUCGUCCGAGGUCUACAUGACUAGUCCUUGGACUAGGCGUGACUGAACGAACGUGAGGUUGGUUCAAACUCGUCCCCG